Non-coding RNA from Coprinopsis marcescibilis, 97 nucleotides. The record is from the annotation of a GenBank genome assembly. Lineage: Eukaryota; Fungi; Basidiomycota; Agaricomycetes; Agaricales; Psathyrellaceae.
GCCCUCUUAGCUCAGUGGUAGAGCGCAUCACUCGUACUGAUUCCUCUAGGAUUCAGCGGAAAUGAUGAGGUCGGUUGUUCAAUCCAGCCAGGGGGCA